Long non-coding RNA from Aquila chrysaetos chrysaetos, 378 nucleotides. RefSeq lists it as uncharacterized. The record is from RefSeq and is a predicted model, not a curated record. The transcript has 2 exons. NCBI's taxonomy places the organism in Eukaryota, Metazoa, Chordata, Aves, Accipitriformes, Accipitridae.
UUUGUAUCUGUUCCCUGUAGGCAAAAGCUAGGAAGAACCUUUCUGCGCUGAAGCUGCCCCAUCGUUCUGCAGGGAGGCUGCCUAGAGUACAGUUUUUGGGGCAGCUCAUGAUUCACUGCAGCAAGAAAGAAAAAGGCUCAUCUCCCUUUUUGUCCCCGCUUUGCACACACGAGACCUUUCCAUCAGCCCUUUAAGUCUCUUGACGUGGAGAACUAGCCAGCUCUUUUGCUACGUUUUUCUUCCCAGCCCAAGCGAGCUCACAUGGCACAUGCAAGACUGCAACACGGACCAGUGUCAGCACAAGGGGAUACCAGGAAUACAGGGGUAAAGGCAAAGAGAAGAAGAAAAGAAAAAAAAACAACCAACAAACAAACCCCC